Molecule: non-coding RNA, 921 nt
Organism: Podarcis muralis (Common wall lizard)
Lineage: Eukaryota; Metazoa; Chordata; Lepidosauria; Squamata; Lacertidae
Source: RefSeq, a predicted model, not a curated record
CAGAUGCUUUUAUGACUAUACACCCUGGUAGGGUGUGGGGGUGAUAGCAAGGGAGAAAAAUCUGAGUUUUGCUGGUUGAGAACCUUGCUCUUACCUGCUCCACUGGGAAACUGGAAGGGAAAGCACAAAAGCCAGCCAGAAUGGGAAAGGAUCGGGUCAGCACCAGGAGAAAGAAGGCACAACUCCUCCCCCUCUCCCUGAGCCAGAGGUGAAUUGUAAUCUUAAGGGCGGUAUCAGGCCUAGUUGACAUUUAAAGGACCCUUCAGAGGAGGCGGAGAUCAUAGGAGACCAUUGAGCUUCAUGCUUCUUCAGUGAACCCCUCCAGACACACAGCUAAGGUAACUCUGAGCAGCUAAGGUUAGUCAGUUACUGUGAGCAAGAAAGAGAUCAUUCCCGCUUCUGGUGAACUCACUCCACAUUCAGAAUUCUUUGUGAAUUUCAAAGAAUGCAAGGUUGGAGAUGUAUGUGUUUCCUUUCACAAGGAUGCAUCUGUAUAAAAUACUCUUCCUGUAUUUUAUAGGCAAGUAAUCACUGGUUUCUCCAGCAACUUCUGUGGCUAAUAGUGCUUAUGCUCACCUGAUGCUGGUUUGCCAGCUACAGCUGUUCCUGAUCAGGAUCACCUGGUCUCAGUUGUCUAUGCUCUACUGCAAUAUGCCCUAUGUGGGGCUGCCCUUGAAGACAGUCCAGAGUUUGCAGCCAGUUCAAAACAUGGUUGAUUUGUGCCCUUUUUCAGGGUGAUUUAUUUCCUCUUCUGGGGCAAUGCGUAAGGGCUGCCCUAUGUUUUGACACUCGGAGAAGCCCAGCCUAGUGGUCUGAUGAAAAUGUAACUUCUACGCUCUGAUCGUACAGAAACAGCCAGUAAUAAUGUAUCAAGACUAAGAAUGUUCCAGAGAAAGCCAUGCAAACGUAAGUCUAGAAAUA